Polypterus senegalus (gray bichir) is the source of this 340-nucleotide long non-coding RNA. RefSeq lists it as uncharacterized. The record is from RefSeq and is a predicted model, not a curated record. NCBI's taxonomy places the organism in Eukaryota, Metazoa, Chordata, Cladistia, Polypteriformes, Polypteridae. The transcript has 3 exons.
AGUAUCAGGGACAAUCCUAGGAGUCAGCCAUGAUAAGGACGUAAGUUUAUCACAAGUUACCUAAAAGUAUUCAAAGAACAGCUCAUCCUGCUGGGCAAAAAACCUAAAGUGACAAGAAGGAUGCACAAGAUGAGCGAGUAAUCUCCACACAGCAGUACCCUAACUGUGAAUCAAAGAGCCAUUUCACAGAUGGGCUUACAGAGGAGAAGAACAAACAUUCUGUAAUUUCCUUUAAUUUACUAUUGGCAUGAAGACUUAUCUUACUCAACUGGAAGAACCCUAAUCCACCUCUGUUAAAUCAAUGGUUAGGUGUUGCCACAGCGGAUCAUCUACGUUGUCC